RNAcentral lists this ribosomal RNA (189 nucleotides) under uncultured bacterium. RNAcentral's name for it is "partial 16S ribosomal RNA". It matches the Rfam family "Bacterial small subunit ribosomal RNA", at positions 1312 to 1500 of the family's 1533-position model. The record is from RNAcentral.
UCGCCUGCAUGAAGUUGGAAUUGCUAGUAAUCGCGAAUCAGAAUGUCGCGGUGAAUACGUUCCCGGGCCUUGUACACACCGCCCGUCACACCAUGAGAGUCGAUAACACCCGAAGCCUGUGAGCUAACCGCAAGGAGGCAGCAGUCGAAGGUGGGGUUGAUGAUUGGGGUGAAGUCGUAACAAGGUAGC